AAUGCCUCUCAUGCGAUUCUUGUUAUACGAGGUUAGACCGCCCUUGCACUGACUUUGACAGUAGGGAGAACCACAAUAGUUACGUGUGGUUCCACACCAGCCCCAUAUACUACAGCACACUCCAGUAGGACAUGCUCUACCAGCAGCUUGCUUUCCGCAUCGUCCCUGUGGGAAUGGUGGGGGUGGGGGUGGUGGAGACGGGGGUGGUGGUGGCCUUUCUCACUGACUUUGACAUUCUUCACGAGAACAAUAGAUUGAAGUGGUUCCACACCAACCAGAGAGACUACAACAUAAUCCAGUAGGACAUUUCCUCCCACCAGCUUGCCAUCCACAACGUCCCGAUGGAUAAGGUCCUGAACAUUGGCUUUGACAGUGUGCAGGAUUACAAUAUCUUUCUGUGGUUCC
Molecule: long non-coding RNA, 405 nt
Filed under: Capsicum annuum
Lineage: Eukaryota; Viridiplantae; Streptophyta; Magnoliopsida; Solanales; Solanaceae
Description: long non-coding RNA (CANN_LNC004025)
Source: RNAcentral